UACGGAGGGUGCGAGCGUUAAUCGGAAUUACUGGGCGUAAAGCGCAUGCAGGUGGUUCAUUAAGUCGGAUGUGAAAGCCCCGGGCUCAACCUGGGAAUUGCAUUCGAUACUGGCAAGCUAGAGUAUGUGAGAGGGGGGUAGAAUUCCAAGUGUAGCGGUGAAAUGCGUAGAGAUUUGAAGGAAUACCAGUGGCGAAGGCGGCCCCCUGGCACACUACUGACGCUCAGGUGCGAAAGCGUGGGGAGCAAACAGG
RNAcentral lists this ribosomal RNA (253 nucleotides) under uncultured bacterium. RNAcentral describes it as "partial 16S ribosomal RNA". It matches the Rfam family "Bacterial small subunit ribosomal RNA", at positions 524 to 776 of the family's 1533-position model. The record is from RNAcentral.